This 1372-nucleotide ribosomal RNA is filed under the name uncultured bacterium. RNAcentral's name for it is "bacterial SSU rRNA". It matches the Rfam family "Bacterial small subunit ribosomal RNA", at positions 28 to 1381 of the family's 1533-position model. The record is from RNAcentral.
GAUGAACGCUGGCGGCGUGCCUAAUACAUGCAAGUCGAGCGAACGGACGAGAAGCUUGCUUCUCUGAUGUUAGCGGCGGACGGGUGAGUAACACGUGGAUAACCUACCUAUAAGACUGGGAUAACUUCGGGAAACCGGAGCUAAUACCGGAUAAUAUUUUGAACCGCAUGGUUCAAAAGUGAAAGACGGUCUUGCUGUCACUUAUAGAUGGAUCCGCGCUGCAUUAGCUAGUUGGUAAGGUAACGGCUUACCAAGGCAACGAUGCAUAGCCGACCUGAGAGGGUGAUCGGCCACACUGGAACUGGGACACGGUCCAGACUCCUACGGGAGGCAGCAGUAGGGAAUCUUCCGCAAUGGGCGAAAGCCUGACGGAGCAACGCCGCGUGAGUGAUAAAGGUCUUCGGAUCGUAAAACUCUGUUAUUAGGGAAGAACAUAUGUGUAAGUAACUGUGCACAUCUUGACGGUACCUAAUCAGAAAGCCACGGCUAACUACGUGCCAGCAGCCGCGGUAAUACGUAGGUGGCAAGCGUUAUCCGGAAUUAUUGGGCGUAAAGCGCGCGUAGGCGGUUUUUUAAGUCUGAUGUGAAAGCCCACGGCUCAACCGUGGAGGGUCAUUGGAAACUGGAAAACUUGAGUGCAGAAGAGGAAAGUGGAAUUCCAUGUGUAGCGGUGAAAUGCGCAGAGAUAUGGAGGAACACCAGUGGCGAAGGCGACUUUCUGGUCUGUAACUGACGCUGAUGUGCGAAAGCGUGGGGAUCAAACAGGAUUAGAUACCCUGGUAGUCCACGCCGUAAACGAUGAGUGCUAAGUGUUAGGGGGUUUCCGCCCCUUAGUGCUGCAGCUAACGCAUUAAGCACUCCGCCUGGGGAGUACGACCGCAAGGUCGAAACUCAAAGGAAUUGACGGGGACCCGCACAAGCGGUGGAGCAUGUGGUUUAAUUCGAAGCAACGCGAAGAACCUUACCAAAUCUUGACAUCCUUUGACAACUCUAGAGAUAGAGCUUUCCCCUUCGGGGGACAAAGUGACAGGUGGUGCAUGGUUGUCGUCAGCUCGUGUCGUGAGAUGUUGGGUUAAGUCCCGCAACGAGCGCAACCCUUAAGCUUAGUUGCCAUCAUUAAGUUGGGCACUCUAAGUUGACUGCCGGUGACAAACCGGAGGAAGGUGGGGAUGACGUCAAAUCAUCAUGCCCCUUAUGAUUUGGGCUACACACGUGCUACAAUGGACAAUACAAAGGGCAGCGAAACCGCGAGGUCAAGCAAAUCCCAUAAAGUUGUUCUCAGUUCGGAUUGUAGUCUGCAACUCGACUACAUGAAGCUGGAAUCGCUAGUAAUCGUAGAUCAGCAUGCUACGGUGAAUACGUUCCCGGGUCU